This 281-nucleotide long non-coding RNA is filed under the name Theobroma cacao (cacao). RNAcentral's name for it is "long non-coding RNA (TCAC_LNC005934)". Lineage: Eukaryota; Viridiplantae; Streptophyta; Magnoliopsida; Malvales; Malvaceae. The record is from RNAcentral.
GUAUUGAGUUCAAUUAUAAUCUUAGAUAAAUAAUUUAGUUCAUCAUCAAGUCACACAUUAUCAUCAAAUAAAGUUUAAACAUUAAAAAUAAAAACAAGAAAAUAAGAGAAUAAAAAAAAGAUAGAAAAACUCAAAAAUUGUAAGCUUGAUCUCCAAAUCUCCUUGAAUCCUUCAAAUUCUUCUCAACUUCAAUGACUUUGUGGCUUGAAUUUUAUCUUUCAAUCCAAUGUUUCGUUAUAUCCAAAAAGUCCUUCAAAAUGUUGUUUUAUAGGGCUUUGAAG